Molecule: ribosomal RNA, 426 nt
Filed under: uncultured Actinomycetes bacterium
Lineage: Bacteria; Bacillati; Actinomycetota; Actinomycetes
Description: bacterial SSU rRNA
Rfam family: Bacterial small subunit ribosomal RNA
Source: RNAcentral
AACGCGAAGAACCUUACCAAGGUUUGACAUGGACCGAAAACUCAUGGAGACAUGGGGUCCUUCGGGGCGGUUCACAGGUGGUGCAUGGCUGUCGUCAGCUCGUGUCGUGAGAUGUUGGGUUAAGUCCCGCAACGAGCGCAACCCUCGUCCCAUGUUGCCAGCGGGUUAUGCCGGGGACUCAUGGGAGACUGCCGGGGUCAACUCGGAGGAAGGUGGGGAUGACGUCAAGUCAUCAUGCCCCUUAUGUCUUGGGCUGCAAACAUGCUACAAUGGCCGGUACAAAGGGCUGCGAGCCCGUGAGGGUAAGCGAAUCCCGGAAAGCCGGUCUCAGUUCGGAUCGGGGUCUGCAACUCGGCCCCGUGAAGCCGGAGUCGCUAGUAAUCGCGGAUCAGCAACGCCGCGGUGAAUACGUUCCCGGGCCUUGUA